GUACACGCUGUGACUAGCAUAUCAAUAAGCGGAGGAAAAGAAACUAACAAGGAUUCCCUCAGUAACGGCGAGUGAAGCGGGAAGAGCUCAAAUUUGAAAUCUUGAUAAGGUCACCUUUCACGAAUUGUAGUUUAAAGAAGUGUUUUCUGCUGAAGUUUUGGUAAAAGUUCUUUGGAAUAGGACAUCAUAGAGGGUGAGAAUCCCGUAUUUGACCAUUAUUUUCAGCUUUGUGAUACACUUUCAAAGAGUCGGAUUGUUUGGGAAUGCAGUCCAAAAUGGGUGGUAAAUUUCAUCUAAAGCUAAAUAUUGGCGAGAGACCGAUAGCGAACAAGUACCGUGAGGGAAAGAUGAAAAGAACUUUGAAAAGAGAGUUAAAUAGUACGUGAAAUUGUCAAAAGGGAAGCGUUUGACACCAGUGUUGUUUUCUCGAAAAUCAAUUAAAAAUGGCUCGAUUUUGUAUUGCUUGAGACCUUAAAAGCUCACUGUACAUUUUUCGUGUCUUUUUUUAAUGCACUUUUCGUUUAACAAGUCAACAUCAGUUUCUUUUGUUGUAAAAGGGUCAUUGGAAGGUGGCUUUCUUUUCGGAGAAAGUGUUUAUAGCCUUUGGCCUCUGCAAUCGAAGAGACUGAGGUCUGCAGCGUAGACUCUUCGGGGUUAGAUACAUUUGUGCUAAGUUAUAGCUCUUUAUAGACAACUUGUUGACUAUAAUUAGUCUUGUAGCUUACUCGCUUAUGCUAUUUUACCUACGCUUAGGAUGUUGAGUAGCGACAUACGCAC
This 777-nucleotide ribosomal RNA is filed under the name uncultured Neocallimastigales. RNAcentral describes it as "partial large subunit ribosomal RNA". It matches the Rfam family "Eukaryotic large subunit ribosomal RNA", at positions 22 to 649 of the family's 3401-position model. The record is from RNAcentral. Lineage: Eukaryota; Fungi; Neocallimastigomycota; Neocallimastigomycetes; Neocallimastigales.